GUAUUUACUUUAAAGGUUGGUCUGCAUGUCACUCAUUCUACAUGCACAGUGUCAGAGUGAGCUGUGGGUAUUGUUUCUUUCUCCACCACUGAACUGCUGGAGCAAUAUACUGCUGUGAAACCGAGCCUUUCCAACAGAAAUAGAAAUACUGUCACACCUUAAAUGCAAAGAGCUACAGCCAGAUCCACCAAGAAGAACAGAUCCACCAAGUCCAGCCUUGUCAAGUUCUUUGAAGAGGAAUGGGAGGGGAAAAAAUAGUGUGUCUUCAGGAGUCCGUGAAAGGCAAAACCUGCCUCAGACUGACCCCAGUGAUCUCUCCUACUCUUCUCCUUGACUGAAGAGCAUUUCUGUGACUUGAAGAAACAGAGAUUGCAGUCUUUUCUGCCUGGAAAGAGAAGCUAAUCUGUGAAAGAGGAAUGAAGUUGGAUAGCCUAACUCAUCAAUGACAGCAAAAAUGCUUUAAUACCUGGACAGUAACGCUGGAUAUAUGUUGUUUCUGUGGUACUUCAUCGUGACAGUACGGGAAUUUUGAUCCACUCCUAAAGGAUGCCUCGUAAUCUUGUGCUGUCUUUUACUAAUAGAGAUUGUGGUAACAGAAGUGUACAGUUGCAAUUUUUUUUUCUGAAGGAGAGAGAAAAAAUUGUCCCUCCAGAAAUCCUGCAGAA
Molecule: long non-coding RNA, 665 nt
Organism: Cygnus olor (mute swan)
Lineage: Eukaryota; Metazoa; Chordata; Aves; Anseriformes; Anatidae
Exons: 4
Source: RefSeq, a predicted model, not a curated record